AUAUUCUCUUUACUGUAUUUAUACUAAAACUGGAAGAGUACACAGGUUAGUGUGGCCUCUACACAAUGAUGAUACACAAAUUCAUGAAGUAGUCCAUACUUUU
This 103-nucleotide small nuclear RNA is filed under the name Microtus ochrogaster (prairie vole). The record is from RNAcentral. Lineage: Eukaryota; Metazoa; Chordata; Mammalia; Rodentia; Cricetidae.